This 895-nucleotide ribosomal RNA is filed under the name uncultured bacterium. RNAcentral describes it as "bacterial SSU rRNA". It matches the Rfam family "Bacterial small subunit ribosomal RNA", at positions 335 to 1253 of the family's 1533-position model. The record is from RNAcentral.
ACUCCUACGGGAGGCAGCAGUCAAGAAUCUUCCGCAAUGGCCGAAAGGCUGACGGAGCGACGCCGCGUGCAUGAAGAAGCCCUUCGGGGUGUAAAAUGCUUUUAUUAGGGACGAAACAAUGACGGUACCUAAUGAAUAAGGGGCUGCUAAACUCGUGCCAGCAGCAGCGGUAAUACGAGUGCCCCAAGCGUUAUCCGGAUUUAUUGGGCGUAAAGGGUCCGCAGGCGGCCCGACGCAUCUUUUGUUAAAUCUAUCGGCUCAACCGGUAGGCUGCGAAAGAGAUGGUCGGGCUAGAGACCGGGAGAGGCAAGCGGAAUUGCUGGUGUAGGGGUUAAAUCCGUUAAUAUCAGCAGGAAUACCAAAUGCGAAGGCAGCUUGCUAGAACGGUUCUGACGCUCAGGGACGAAAGCGUGGGGAGCGAAUGGGAUUAGAUACCCCAGUAGUCCACGCCGUAAACGAUGGAUGCUAAGCAUUGGUAGUAUCGACCCUAUCAGUGCUGUCUACUUAAGCUAACGCCUUAAGCAUCCCGCCUGGGGAGUACGAGCGCAAGCUUAAAACUCAAAGGAAUAGACGGGGACCCGCACAAGCGGUGGAGCAUGUGGUUUAAUUCGACGAUNAGCGAGGAACCUCACCCAGACUUGACAUCUAGCUGCAGACCCUAGGAAACUAGGGAGCCUUAGAGGGUGCUAGACAGGUGCUGCAUGGUUGUCGUCAGCUCGUGUCGUGAGAUGUACCGUUAAGUCGGGAAACGAGCGCAACCCCUAUCCUAUGUUUUACGUGUCAUAGGAAACUGCCCGCUUUAAGUGGGAGNANGGCGGGGAUGACGUCAAAUCAGCAUGGUCCUUACGUCUGGGGCGACACACGUGCUACAAUGGANAGCACAGAGGGACGCCNA